AGGCUGGAGUAUUUUAUUACCCUUGUCUUUUGCGCACUUGUUGUUUCCUGGGCGGGUUCGGGACCACAUGAUAAACCUUUUUUAUGCAGUUGCAAUCAGCGUCAGUACAACAAAUGUAAAUCAUUUACUACUUUCAACAACGGAUCUCUUGGUUCUGGCAUCGAUGAAGAAUGCGUUCAUACGUGUGAAUUGCAGAAUUCAGUGAAUCAUCGAAUCUUUGGCACAUUGCGCCCUUUGGUAUUCCAAAGGGCAUGCCUGUUCGAGCGUCAUUUGUACCAGCUUUGCUUGGUGUUGGGCGUUUUUUGUCUUUGGUUUUGUCCAAAGACUCGCCUUACGAUUGGCAGCCGGCCUACUGGUUUCGCAGCGCAGCACAUUUUUGCGCAAUCAGCAAAAGAGCUCCAUCA
Molecule: unclassified non-coding RNA, 404 nt
Filed under: Curvularia clavata
Lineage: Eukaryota; Fungi; Ascomycota; Dothideomycetes; Pleosporales; Pleosporaceae
Description: partial miscellaneous RNA
Rfam family: 5.8S ribosomal RNA (bases 129-269)
Source: RNAcentral